RNAcentral lists this transfer RNA (73 nucleotides) under Trachinops taeniatus (eastern hulafish). RNAcentral describes it as "tRNA-Lys". It matches the Rfam family "tRNA". From Rfam's summary of the family: Transfer RNA (tRNA) molecules are approximately 80 nucleotides in length. Their secondary structure includes four short double-helical elements and three loops (D, anti-codon, and T loops). Further hydrogen bonds mediate the characteristic L-shaped molecular structure. tRNAs have two regions of fundamental functional importance: the anti-codon, which is responsible for specific mRNA codon recognition, and the 3' end, to which the tRNAs corresponding amino acid is attached (by aminoacyl-tRNA synthetases). tRNAs cope with the degeneracy of the genetic code in two manners: having more than one tRNA (with a specific anti-codon) for a particular amino acid; and 'wobble' base-pairing, i.e. permitting non-standard base-pairing at the 3rd anti-codon position. Lineage: Eukaryota; Metazoa; Chordata; Actinopteri; Plesiopidae. The record is from RNAcentral.
CACUGAGAAGCUAACAAGGAGAAGCAUUAGCCUUUUAAGCUAAAAAUUGGCGGCUACCGCCCGCCCUUGGUGA